Cydia splendana is the source of this 398-nucleotide long non-coding RNA. RefSeq lists it as uncharacterized. The record is from RefSeq and is a predicted model, not a curated record. The transcript is spliced from 3 exons. Lineage: Eukaryota; Metazoa; Arthropoda; Insecta; Lepidoptera; Tortricidae.
UUUGGGGUAUAAAAGAGUUGGAUUUCUUCCAGUAAUCUUGUGUGAUAUCAGCUUCGGUACCUACAACUUGUCCAAAAUGCUGAAGUUCGUUGGUUUACUCGCUUUCGUGUCAGUGUCUUAUGCAGCUGUAGCAAUAUUCCCUGCUGAGGAAAAACCUGUAGACUUAACUAACCAAGAAGGAUGUUAUAUUUCCAAGAUAAACCGAGUGCUGCGAUACGAUGUUAACUUUUAUCCAAAUACUGAUUGCGCAGUGUACAUUUGCAAGAGCUCAAACAAUCAAACACUGUAUGAAACUUGUGGAGUAAAAGCUAUUCGCGAUGGCUGCAGAAGAAGCGCCAUAGAUAACAGCAAACAAUACCCUGAUUGUUGUUACCAAGAAGUAUGCGAUGGGACCACCA